Molecule: ribosomal RNA, 506 nt
Filed under: uncultured Pseudomonadota bacterium
Lineage: Bacteria; Pseudomonadati; Pseudomonadota
Description: bacterial SSU rRNA
Rfam family: Bacterial small subunit ribosomal RNA
Source: RNAcentral
UCGGAAUUACUGGGCGUAAAGCGUGCGCAGGCGGUUUUGUAAGUCAGAUGUGAAAUCCCCGAGCUUAACUUGGGAACUGCGUUUGAAACUACAAGACUAGAGUGUGUCAGAGGGGGGUAGAAUUCCACGUGUAGCAGUGAAAUGCGUAGAGAUGUGGAGGAAUACCAAUGGCGAAGGCAGCCCCCUGGGAUAACACUGACGCUCAUGCACGAAAGCGUGGGGAGCGAACAGGAUUAGAUACCCUGGUAGUCCACACCGUAAACGCUGUCUACUAGCUGUUUGUGGAUUUAAUCCGUGAGUAGCGAAGCUAACGCGAUAAGUAGACCGCCUGGGGAGUACGGCCGCAAGGUUAAAACUCAAAUGAAUUGACGGGGGCCCGCACAAGCGGUGGAGCAUGUGGUUUAAUUCGAUGCAACGCGAAGAACCUUACCUACUCUUGACAUACUAGAAACUUUUCAGAGAUGAAUUGGUGCCUUCGGGAAUCUAGAUACAGGUGCUGCAUGGCU